UACGAAGGGUGCAAGCGUUACUCGGAAUUACUGGGCGUAAAGGGUGCGUAGGUGGUUCUUUAAGUCUGCUGUGAAAGCCCCGGGCUCAACCUGGGAAUGGCAGUGGAUACUGGAGAGCUAGAGUGCGGUAGAGGGUAGUGGAAUUCCCGGUGUAGCAGUGAAAUGCGUAGAGAUCGGGAGGAACACCAGUGGCGAAGGCGGCUACCUGGACCAGCACUGACACUGAAGCACGAAAGCGUGGGGAGCGAACGGG
RNAcentral lists this ribosomal RNA (253 nucleotides) under uncultured bacterium. Its description in RNAcentral is "partial 16S ribosomal RNA". It matches the Rfam family "Bacterial small subunit ribosomal RNA", at positions 524 to 776 of the family's 1533-position model. The record is from RNAcentral.